Long non-coding RNA from Trichomycterus rosablanca, 404 nucleotides. RefSeq lists it as uncharacterized. The record is from RefSeq and is a predicted model, not a curated record. Lineage: Eukaryota; Metazoa; Chordata; Actinopteri; Siluriformes; Trichomycteridae. The transcript is spliced from 3 exons.
ACUUUUAAAGGCAAACCCCAUGCUACUAGAGGAGUAUCAAACUGACAUUUCAAAUCCUCAGUUGUUUUAAUUCCACUCAAUUCCAUUGUUACCACUAAAGGCUGAUGUUACACAUAAACGCGAGAGGCGCUCAUCAAGUGAAGAGUUUCAGUUCGUGCCUCAAUUUAUUCCCAACUAUAACAACAUCCUGCACAACGAUGACUUCAUUCAUCUCCUGAUGCCACUUCUACUAGCACGACUGAGCCCUGCUUCUGGUCUCGCUGCUCCUCCUGAUGAAGACUCUGACAGUUAAGACAACCUGUGCUGUAAUAAUGGGUUGCUGGUAAUUUCAUGAAAUAAACACAACUGCAUUGCAAAUGCAUAUGUCACGUGUUUGAUAUUUGGUUUUAAUCCCUUAAAUCAUA